AGCGAACGCUGGCGGCAGGCUUAACACAUGCAAGUCGAGCGCUCGUAGCAAUACGAGAGCGGCAGACGGGAGAGUAACACGUGGGAACGUACCCUUUGGUUCGGAACAACACAGGGAAACUUGUGCUAAUACCGAAUAAGCCCUUACGGGGAAAGAUUUAUCGCCAAAGGAUCGGCCCGCGUCUGAUUAGCUAGUUGGUGGGGUAAUGGCCCACCAAGGCGACGAUCAGUAGCUGGUCUGAGAGGAUGACCAGCCUCAUUGGGACUGAGACACGGCCCAAACUCCUACGGGAGGCAGCAGUGGGAAUAUUGGACAAUGGGCGCAAGCCUGAUCCAGCCAUGCCGCGUGGAUGAUGAAGGCCUUAGGGUUGUAAAGCUCUCUUGUGCGGGAAGAUAAUGACGGUACCG
This 407-nucleotide ribosomal RNA is filed under the name uncultured bacterium. RNAcentral's name for it is "bacterial SSU rRNA". It matches the Rfam family "Bacterial small subunit ribosomal RNA", at positions 29 to 480 of the family's 1533-position model. The record is from RNAcentral.